CCGGCCCAUGUCCCUUGGAACAGGGCGUCGCAGAGGGUGAGAAUCCCGUGCCAGGCUGGCUGCCUCCUCCCGCGUGAAGGGCCUUCGACGAGUCGAGUUGUUUGGGAAUGCAGCUCCAAGUGGGUGGUAAAUUUCAUCUAAAGCUAAAUACCGGCGGGAGACCGAUAGCGCACAAGUAGAGUGAUCGAAAGAUGAAAAGCACUUUGAAAAUAGAGUCAAAAAGUACGUGAAAUUGUUGAAAGGGAAGCGCUUGAGACCAGACUCGGACCCGAGCAAACACCGUGCCCCUCGGGGCCGUGCAAUUGCCCGGGACUGGGCCAGCAUCAGUCGGCGUGGCGGGACAAAGGCGUGGGGAAUGUGGCUCCCCUCGGGGAGUGUUAUUAGGCCCACGCUGAAUGCCGCCGACGUCGACUGAGGACCGCGCCUAGGCUAGGAUGCUGGCUUAAUGGCCUUCAGCGACCCGUCUUGAAACACGGA
This 477-nucleotide ribosomal RNA is filed under the name Helvella phlebophoroides. RNAcentral describes it as "Helvella sp. IS-2019e partial large subunit ribosomal RNA". It matches the Rfam family "Eukaryotic large subunit ribosomal RNA", at positions 176 to 665 of the family's 3401-position model. Lineage: Eukaryota; Fungi; Ascomycota; Pezizomycetes; Pezizales; Helvellaceae. The record is from RNAcentral.